GCAAGGUUUUGGAAGACAAGGAAUCAUGGCAAUCAACAGGAUGAAUGGUGUAAUGGCUAUUCUUUUGUGCGGAAUGAUUCUUCUGGGAGCAAAUGUGGAGGUUGAGGCCUGCCCACAAUAUUGCUUAGAUGUUGAGUAAAUGACCUGCGGUAACUCGGGAACGAAGCAGUACCCCAGCUGCAUCAAUUGUUGCUUGGCCCCAAAAGGCUGCACUCUUCAUCUUGCUGAUGGAACUUCACAAUAUUGCGGCUAAAUCAAUUCCAUGAUUGGAGUUUGUACGCUAGACUGCUAAUAUCAUGCUAGACUGGUACAAUAUAAUUUCAGCUUCCACGAGGGUUGAAGAUAUCCAUGUAGUAUAUCAGUGAUUCAAGAGACAGUUGAGUCAUAUUCAAUCACUGAUCUUAUACACUAAAUAAAGGUAUACAAAUAGAGUAACUUUUGUUA
Coffea eugenioides is the source of this 444-nucleotide long non-coding RNA. RefSeq lists it as uncharacterized. NCBI's taxonomy places the organism in Eukaryota, Viridiplantae, Streptophyta, Magnoliopsida, Gentianales, Rubiaceae. The transcript has 2 exons. The record is from RefSeq and is a predicted model, not a curated record.